This 253-nucleotide ribosomal RNA is filed under the name uncultured bacterium. RNAcentral's name for it is "partial 16S ribosomal RNA". It matches the Rfam family "Bacterial small subunit ribosomal RNA", at positions 524 to 776 of the family's 1533-position model. The record is from RNAcentral.
UACGUAGGCAGCGAGCGUUGUUCGGACUUACUGGGCGUAAAGGGUGUGUAGGCGGUCCUCUAAGUUUGGUGUGAAAUCUCCCGGCUCAACCGGGAGGGUGCGCCGAAAACUGGGGGGCUAGAGUGCGGGAUGGGUAAGUGGAAUUCCUGGUGUAGCGGUGAAAUGCGUAGAUAUCUGGAGGAAUACCGGUGGCGAAGGCGGCAUCCUGGACCGACAUUGACGCUGAGGAGCGAAAGCUAGGGGAGCAAACGGG